AUCUCCCAGCAGGAACACACUGAGUGUUUUCAGUAGUGCAUUAACGUUGAGACUGCUUUCUGAGUGAACAAUGAACUGGUGAAAACCCUGGACCCUCCUGUCUCCAGUAUGCGUCCUCUGAAAGGAAAAUUUGCACACCUUGUCUGCCCGAGCAUCCGCUUAAUAACGUGACCCUGAGAACCACUUUUCACUACCUGUUAAGACAGCAGAGCUCUUCUGACUGCUUUCCAAAGCAAAGAUGAAGUAUCCCACAAAAGGACCUAAUUUGAAAGAGGCUGCAGUUCAGCGGCAGGAGGGAUUUAAACACUGUUAAGACUGACAUUUUCCCUCAUCUCACAUCCCGUGGGGUACCUGAUUGCAAAUUUAUAAUACACCAGAGGUCUUGCCAUCCAAAGAUACAGACUUACAGUAACAGCAACUAAUUUAAAAAAGAUCUCCAGCGCAUCAGUGUCUGGGGCUGGUUUACACAGACUAAUUAAUCCUUAUUUGACCUGAAUUAACUCUUAAUCUGUGUGAAAUGAAAGAGCUUUACUGGGAUACAGCAAAUUUUCGAAGAUGGAAAAUCCUUUCAGAACAGGAGGUUUCUGCAGCUGGGUGACAUGUGGAUUAAAAUACUUGUUGGCUGCUGCUGUGGAGAAUUAGCUCUUUCGUUUUCUUUCUAUUCCCACCCUGCUUUUGCUAACCAGAAAAUACAGAAGAGAGGCAGAUGAUUUUCAGCCACCAGCAAUUGCUGUCCCUUGGUAACUGAUGCAGGAGGAGAGAAGA
Dromaius novaehollandiae (emu) is the source of this 765-nucleotide long non-coding RNA. RefSeq lists it as uncharacterized. The record is from RefSeq and is a predicted model, not a curated record. NCBI's taxonomy places the organism in Eukaryota, Metazoa, Chordata, Aves, Casuariiformes, Dromaiidae. The transcript is spliced from 3 exons.